GUUCCAUCUGUGCUUAUACAAUAUACUAACCUGGGAUUGGCCUGCUGGCUCCAAAGAUUGCAGCCUUGCACGGGUCUUCUCUGCACAAGCCUUAACAUCUUCCUUUGUUUGGAAAAACGGAUCUAUAUAAUUACCAUAAACAGAAACCAUGACAUUUUUAUUUGCCAGGAAAGAAAUCGUGUAACUUCAACAAAAUCAAUACAAUAGAAAGAUUUCAACUAUCCACACACACUACCUUACCGCCACCAGCUUCGGCUACAUGACAACCGACAGAACGCUGCUCUGCAGCUAGUUUUGCUUCCAAAUUUUGCAUCUUAUUUUUAUUCGACUCGUUCUCGGCUUUCAGUGCUUCGUUCUCCCGUUUACUCUUGGACAACUCUUCGCGAAGGGCCACGGCGCUGCCCUCUACAAGUCUGACUAUUUCCACGACCGCUGCCCUCAUUACCGCGUUCAUGAGAGAGGUUAGCUGACUUUGAAGCCUCACAGAUAGGCUAACCAAAUUCAAACCAACUGCCACGGUCGCACACCUGCCGGCUGAAGCUAAUUGGCGAAAGAAGUUGGAAAGCUUGCUAGCUAGUCUAAGCUACUUCAAGACAACACCUGGUUACACGUUAUCUAGAAAGAACCUGAGCCCUAGGACCAUGCCUCAGGACUACCUGGCCUGAUGACUCCUUGCUGUCCCCAGUCCACCUGGUCGUGCUGCUGCUCCAGUUUCAACUGUUCUGCCUGCAGCUAUGGAACCCUGACCUGUUCACCGGACGUGCUACCUUGUCCCAGACCUCCUGUUUUCACCUCUCCCUCUCUCUACCGCACCUGCUAUUUCAACCUCUGAAUGCCCAGCUAUGAAAAGUCAAGUGACAUUUACUGUUAAUAUACUGACCUGUUGCACCCUCUACAACCACUGUGAUUAUUAUCUGACCCUGCUGGUCAUCUAUGAACGUUUGAACAUUUUGGAGAACAAUCUGGCCUUAAUGACUAUGUACUGUUAUAAUCGCCACCCGGCACAGACAAAAGAGGACUGGCCACCCCUCAGAGCCUGGUUCCUCUCUAGGUUUUUUCCUAGGUUCCUGCCUUUCUAGGGAGUUUUUCCUAGCCAACGUGCUUCUGCAUUUCUUGCUAUUUGGGGUUUUAGGUAGGGUUUCUGUAUAGCACUUUGUGACAUCUGCUGAUAUAUAAAAAAGGGCUUAAUAAAUACAUUUGAUUGAUUACGCAGCGCGAUUGACCAAUUGAAGCUCACUAUAGCUUCUAGACCCUAAUGGAUUGGCUGUUGAUGCCUAGCAUGCUUGAUAGCACCCACACGAGUGCUUAGCCAGCUUGGCAAGGCAAAAUACAAGUGCUAGUUAAUCGCCCCCGUCAGGCGUGAGCUGCACAUCGAUUUUAUUAAACAUGCUGCUCACUCGUCCAGUGUAGCAGCUCUGUAGGAACCGCUUCUUGCCAUAAUGAUGCUCUUGGUUUUUAUCUCCACCCUCAGGUCUACAAGGGCAUCUUCCCAUGUGCCUUCGCACAUCUUGCCAAAUGAACAUACCUUUACAGUAAAGACAAGGUUCAAAUCUCUUCGCGCCACUAUUCGGUUUGGGUUUCCUUUUUACUUUGAGACAGCCGGAUCCCUUGUUUACGACGUUAGUGUUGUGUUGGAAAUUUCCCUUGUUCCUCAGUUUCUCCAGCAACACUUUCCGCUGUCUUGAAGCUAUGUCAAGACUUAAGACAUAAGCAAUUUCAGCAUUUUCCUUCUCAUGCUGUUUCAAGUGGCGGGAGAUCUUUGAUUGAGGCUCUCCACAUACAAAACAGUAAUUUACAUUGCCUUUACAAGGGCCAUUUUUUCUCCCUCUCUUCUUUCUUCCGGAGUUGUUCAUGUUGUCAAAGUCCUUGGACUUGUCUAAUUGGGUGUCCAUGACAGCUGCUGCACCUGGUAGCUUCACACAUUUCUGGACCAUGAUGUUGACUGGUGAAGUCAAGAAGUGGUUUUCUUCAAAGUUCAAACAACUUUCUGGUUUAAAACUUCCAAAUGCACAACUUUUCUCCACAUCACAGGACUCAGUGGUGUUCUGGUGCUGUGGAAAGACCAAGAGGUACGUUUGUCACACUGUCUACACAUUUCCAUAUACUGAAGUUGUACCUGAUACAACGCAUUUGAGCCCAACACUGCACCUUUCCAUUAAUUACCUCAUACUAAUAACUGCACUAUACUGCAUUUGCACUAUGUACACAACACUGUAUGUGUGUGUAAUGGUAGCAUCCCUUCCCUCUGCAUAUAAAGAUAUCCAUCCCCUCUGUAAAUUGUAUAUCCUCACUGUAAAUCAGCUUUACGUUUACUGUAUAUUCUGUAUGUCGACUGUCUGUAUUCUGUUUGUACAUUGUCCAUUGCUGGCAGCACCUAUUCACUAAGUCAAAUUCCAGGUAUAUGUAAAUGUACUUGAUUCUGAUGGAGUAAUCAGCCUCACUCUCAGGGCUUGACUGAUCAGAAGCAUCAUUUUUCCUCUCACACUGAGUGCAACAAGCAGCUAUUUUAUACCACAAAUAAUUGAAAGAGGUCCAUUUUGAUGUACCUGGGUACCAGCAUCUGAUGAGUCAGCAGGUUCAUCUUCUAUGACCGACUUCUUUACACAAACACUCCGCCUUUUCUGAGCCGAAACAGUCUUGACCUGUGUGUUUGACAUAUUACAUGUUACAGCUUUCAUUUGUUACUUUUUUCAUGGCAUAUGCCGAUGCGUCUCUGUAGUGGUAGCACAAUCGCAUAAACACAUUCUCUCUCACGGUACUAAAUGAAUAAAACAUAAGAGGCACUAAGGAUUGUGAGGUGUAUAUAUAUUUAUUUUCAUAAACUUCUAAUACAGUUGAUUUAAUUUAACCUUUAUUUAAACAGGGAGUCAUGCUGAUACCAUGGUCUCUUUUGCAGGUGAGCCCUGCAUGAUAACAUCAAUUACACUACACACACACACAUCAAUAUACACAAUACACACAUCAAUAUACACAAUACACACCAAUUUAAAAAGCUAACAAAACCGUAUGUGGUUACCUCAUACAAGACAUUAGCCAAGUUACAUACCAUUGUUAUAACACCAAACCCAUCCAUCCCCUUAUGAAAUAUAUGAAAAGCAUUGAUCUGAAUAGUUCGCUUCAAAAAGUUUGAAUAUUCAGAAAAUGUAAAUACUAAAGAUAUGAACUGCCAACACCAACUUCAGAGAACACAGCACAAUGGCAUCCAGUUACAUGCUGCAUGCAGAUUCUCCUAACAUCACACCGGACACCAGUCAACACGGAAUGUUACACAUCUUCCUUAACUUCAACACACAGACAUGAGGAAUUCUCAUUCAUGUAAAAACACUGUCCUAACAGUAGAGGACUCCUGCAAUAUCUUCACUACCUCUUUGACGUGAUUCUAUUUCCUGCCAACCGCCGGAGCCAACAACGGGCCCAAUUUGUGCUGAUUAGGAUAUGACCGCCAUUCUCUGCCAGCAUCUCCGGGUUUCUGCGCAUCACAAUGUCUCGCGUGGCUACCAUCAGCAUGGACGGGCUAACCUGACCUCCAGCUCUUCUCCUCACCAUUACGAAGCGAGUAAUCUCCUCAUCAAACAUGUCUGUUCUGAAUGGCCUCAAAUGGGGUAGGUCUUCCACUUUCUGGACGCCCAUGCUUUCGACCGUCUGUUCGUAGCUGAUCCUCAUGGACCUCACAGUGUUGGGGCUGAUGCGUCUUCCCAAUUCCUCAGACAUCAUGGCUGCGGCCAUCUGUGCACCCACCUCCAUGCACAUCCGCGCAAUCUUGGCCCUUUGCUCGGGGGUGUACCUGAGGUAGGUCCCUCUCCUUUGCGGAUGCGGUUGAGUUCUUACUCUUCGGCGCCGGCGCAGAUUUCGUAAGUCCACAGAGCUUGACUGCCCAGGUGUAAGCCACUGUGGAGAGAGAGCUAUGUUUUUCAAUCAGCGUGUUAGAAAUAAAACAAAUAAAGAGAAUGUGUGUCAGUACCGGAGCUGAGCUACAGAUCCGUGCUAUCCGGGAUCCCUGGGACAUCCCUUCCCCAUUGAAGUUUAACUUUAAAAAUGGUUAGGGUUAUGGUUAAUGUGCACCAAUCUGGAUUUAGACCUGGACAUAGAACAGUUUCAGCUGCUACUCUUGUUUUAGAUGUGUUAAAUUGCUUAGAUCAUAAAAACCAUUGUGCUGCCUUAUUUAUAGACCGUUCGAAAGCCUUUGACACGGUUGACCAUCACAAUUUAAUUCAGAGGUUGACUAAAAUAGGCCUGUAUCUGGCUUCUUGCAAGUGGUUUGAGAAUUGUCAGACAGAACAUUGUGAUUUCUGAUGGUGUUAUGUCUAAGUUCCUGGAUAUUAACGAAGGUGUACUACAGGGUUCGGUACUGGGACAUGUUCUCUUUACUAUUUAUAGAAAUAAUAUUGGUCUGUUAACUUGUAAUAUUAAUCUGCAUGCAGACUAUGCUGUAAUGUAUGUCAUUGCCCCAACUGUAGACCAGGCGUUGUUAGAGCUGCAAUCUGACUUUGUUGCCUCACGAAAUGCCCUGGUUGGCCAAGAUUAAAUAUAUGUUGUUCUCUAAUUCUUGCAACAACAACAAAAAAAUCUGAUGGACUACAUACAGUGUACAAAACAUUAGGAACACCUUAAUAUUGAGUUGCACCCACCCACCCCUUUUGCCCUAAGAACAGCCUCAGUUUGUCAGGGCAUGGGCUCUACAAGGUCUCAAAAGUGUUCCACAGGAAUGCUGGCCCAUGUUGACUCCAAUACUUCCCACAGUUGGGUCAAGUUGGCUGGAUGUCCUUUGGGUGGUGGACCAUUCUUGAUACACACGGGAAACUGUUGAGCAUGAAAAACCCAGCAGCGUUGCAGUUCUUGACACACAAACGGGUGUGCCUGGCAUGUACUACCAUGCCCCGUUCAAAGGCACUUAAAUAUUUUGUCUUGCCCAUUCACCCUCUGAAUGGCAAACACACACAAUCCAUGUCUCAAUUGUCUGAAGGCUUAAAAAUCCUUCUUUAACCUGUCUCCUCCCCUUCAUCUACACUGAUUGAAGUGGAUUUAACCGGUGACAUCAAUAAAGGAUCAUAGCUUUCACCUGGAUUCACCUGGUGAGUCUGUCAUGGAAAGAGCAGGUGUUCGUAAUGUUUUGUACACUCAAUUUAUUUAUUAAUUGAAUGGUUCUCCCAUUGAUCAGGUUCCCACCUAUAAAAAUCUGGGCUUUUGGAUUGACUAGGAUUUAAAGUUUUAAAAAAACAUACUGAUGGGCUAGUUAAUUAAAAAGCUAAGAAUUAAAGUGAGCUUAUUUUUUUAGAAAUAGAUCUUGCCUUUCCCUAAACAGCAGGAAGCAGAUUGUACAGUUAACUUUUUAUUAAAGAAUAAUAACAAAAUUAGGGUAGGGAUGUCCCAAGGAUCCCGGAUAGCACUGCCCCUGAGCCAUAGGGCAGACUGAGCAUCUACCAUCCCACUAUCAGAUUAGGGGUGUGGGCAAUUUAUGCUUUUUGUCCCCCCACUUUUUAAAUCUGAAAUCACCAUCACCCAUUGAUUAACUUCUAAUUUUUACAGAUAAAAAAAUAUUGUGAGCUAGUCCUAUGACAAUAUUUAUCUUUAGAAAUUAGCCUGGCAUUUAGCCAAUUAAUAUAACAAAGCUUUUGGAUUUUACGGGGUCUCAAACUCGAAUGGUUAGACCGUUUGGAAUUUUAUACUUUGACCAAUGAAUGAGACCAUGCACAGCUCCAAAAAAUGUUGCCGUCUUACCCAGUUCAGGUAAAAAUGACUAGGCCACACAACUCCGGUAAAACACCAUUUUCUACAGUGCAUUUGAUAACAAUUAGUCGAGUUACAAUUAGUUUAGUGACAAGCAAAUUACAUUGCUUGUCACUCAACUAAUAAAGCCUAUGAUUUGACAUUGUGAAAGACAUUUUAU
This 5887-nucleotide long non-coding RNA is filed under the name Salmo salar (Atlantic salmon). RNAcentral's name for it is "lncRNA (ENSSSAG00000108428.1)". The record is from RNAcentral. Lineage: Eukaryota; Metazoa; Chordata; Actinopteri; Salmoniformes; Salmonidae.